CACGGAGUUAGCCGGAGCUCAUUCUCCCGGUACUGUCAUUAUCAUCCCGGGUAAAAGAGCUUUACAACCCUAAGGCCUUCAUCACUCACGCGGCAUUGCUGGAUCAGGCUUUCGCCCAUUGUCCAAUAUUCCCCACUGCUGCCUCCCGUAGGAGUCUGGGCCGUGUCUCAGUCCCAGUGUGGCUGAUCAUCCUCUCAGACCAGCUAAGGAUCGUCGCCUUGGUAGGCCAUUACCCCACCAACUAGCUAAUCCUACGCGGGCUCAUCCCUCGGCGAUAAAUCUUUGGUCCGAAGACAUUAUAAGGUAUUAGCUGAAAUUUCUCUCAGUUAUUCCCAACCGAAGGCAGAUUCCCACGCGUUACGCACCCGUGCGCCACUAGACCCGAAGGUCUCGUUCGACUUGCAUGUGUUAGGCAUGCCGCCAGCGUUCGUUCUGAGCCAGGAUCAAACUCU
Molecule: ribosomal RNA, 452 nt
Filed under: uncultured Sphingomonadaceae bacterium
Lineage: Bacteria; Pseudomonadati; Pseudomonadota; Alphaproteobacteria; Sphingomonadales; Sphingomonadaceae
Description: partial 16S ribosomal RNA
Source: RNAcentral